UCUCUGGUUUUGUGCUGGGCUCAAUCCACUGGCAGCACGCAACUCAGCCACUGUGUCAACUUAUUGAAGAGACUGCUAUUAAAAGUAACACAGAAGCUUAUAUUUUUGAAAGCUUUGUACUGUAAUGUUGCUUAAAAUACACUGAAGUGUUCCUAUGCAGUGGCUGGGUGGGUGAAAAGUCAAGCUGAAAAGUUGAGAUGCCGUACAUAGCUGCUCCAUGCGGCCAUGGGACUCUUUCUGCUUAGUCAUUUUGUUGACGCAGUUUUGCUUCUGGAUUGGUGAAAGUUUCUUGGCUUACAUAAAGGCAGUGAGUGUGGGAACAUCAGUAGCUUGGUGUAAACUAAACACUGAAACUGGAAGCACAGUUUAUGGUACUGCCUUGGCUCAAGUUUAAGGCAGUGGUAACUUAGUUCUGCUUUAGUAAGAGCUAAACUGCUGAAGGAGUGCUGUGUUGUGUUGGUAGCUCCUGUAAGAGGGUAGGUAUAGGAUAUUAAAGGCUGUUUGGGACUUAAAGCUUUGUUAGAUUAUGGGCCUUUAGUCUUCUUCACCUCCCAAAUCAGGUAAUGGUUCAGGACUGGAAUUAAAGGAACUGAAUGUCUAAUUUAUAAGCAGCCAGAGGAUUCUGUACCCAGUAAGUUGGUGCUUGGCAGCUGCCCAGCUUUGCACUGUUUUGGCUGUCAGCCUCUGCCUGAGGUGCGGAGGGCUCUACCUGAAACUGCUGCUAGACUAAAUGCAAGAUUGUUGUUUUUCUCUGGGAAUAAAAAUCUCUACUGCAUUAAACUGUCAGAAACUCAGAAAAUAAUUUGCAAAUACUAAGCCAUAGAGUGUAAUAUACAAUAGAAGCAAGUAAAUUGCACUUAAUUAGGCAUGGGCAGGGUGGAAAUGUGUUAAUGUACUUUUUUCCGUGUAAAAAGUACAGCAUAUCUUUAGCUAAACAAGAAAUCUCAAAGAAAAUCAGGAUUGAAGAAGUAAGUGGAGGGAUCCAGUUCUUUAUAGGUAUCUGACUUCUCUGCUCUUCCUAGGAUUUGUAGGCUUUGUAGAGGAUCCUGCACCAAGAGCUUGUUGCACCUCUCCCUGCCUGGAGGAGGGAACUGAAUCCUUUACUUUACAAAGUAACAUCCACUAGGCAGAUUUUCAUAGCUGCUGUAACAGAAGAUUUUUGUCAAUGGCUGUCCCUUUCAUACAGUUUACAGAUUGUCUGCAUUACAAGAGUUGGCAUCCAAUGCUCUUAUUCUUUCUCACAAGAUCUCUUGCAAUGUAGUGCUGCAAGAUCUUAGGUAUGAGUCAGAGUGUAAGAGCUGGCCUUCAGUGGGAACAAAUACAUAAAAAAUGGUUCAAAGGACUUGAAGAUAAAAAAAGUUAUUGGAGGCUGAAACAGAUGUAAAAGGAAAUUGAAAUAGCACGGAUCAAGAAACAGAGAAGAAAAUGGUGUGUGUUGGACUCAAAAAUAGUGUGGUAUAUUUAGAUAGGGAGAAGUAUGCUGAUUUUUUUUUCAGUCAACUUCUGGUAGGCUUUUUACAUUCUUAUCAGUGGGAAGUGAUAACUGGGAAGCAAUAAGGAAGCUAAAUGUGAGCAGCUUCAGUGUGCACAGAACUCCGCAUAAACCCUUUUCUCCCUGUGGAACACAGAAAUGAGGGAACGUGUUUUGGAGGCUUAAAUUCAAGUUUGAAUGUAUUAAGGUGAGAUAUUCAAAUCUGAUAUCCGUACUCUUCUGGUUGACUUCUGUAGUUAUGCUGGUUAUUCUGUAUUACAAUGCUAAUAAAUAGCUAGAAGGAUGUCUGAAGUAUCCUGAACAGAGAUGGCUUUUCUGCACAAUUAAUACAAUAUUUUAAUCCUGUGUGAAAAAGGAGGUUGAUUCAACUACUGAUGUAGAGGAACUUUCAAUGUCUGAUGCUGGAGGAGUGUCUAGUAGGGGACUGGUGAAGGCCUUGCUCCGUGUGAGACAUUUGACUGGUUUCUCUGCCCCUUUAACCUGAAACUAAAUAGAACUGUUACUCAAACUCAUGCAGCUGUUUCCACAAUGUUUCAUAGAUGCCAGAGGCUGAAAACUUGUCUGCUUAGUGAGGUGUGGCCAUGCUGUAGUUCUUGGUUUUGAAGCUUGCAUCUUGCUUAAAGAGCCUGUGAUGCUGUCUUUUGCCUCAAGCAUUGUCUUGAGAAAGCAUGAUUUGGUUCAAUAACUAAGCCUUUGUCCUGCAACUUGGAGAGUGAAUGGUUGACCUCAUGUGUUGACUAAACCCCUGCUGAGGAGCUUUUAUGAAAACCCCUUCCAAUAUAUUUAUUACAGUUUUAGCAUUGAAUCACUUGGUGGAUGAAUUUAAGUCUGAAUUCUCAGUGGCCACACAAAGUCGUCCUUCCUGCUUUCUACCUCUUCAGGACCUUGGUCCUUCAUAUGAGCUGAGCACUUUAUUUUCCCUGUGUAAGCUUUUACCCUUCUGUAUAGGGCUUGAGUUGAUUCUUCUUGCAGUUUUUUAACUGUGCUUUAAAGGGUCAAGACCUUAACUGGCAAACAGUGACUGGGCAAACCAAUUUGGACUUAAAGGUAGCCUUUUACCAUGAAGGUAUGAGGUUCUUGCCAGGAGUUCUUCUGCGUAUACCUGAGGGCAUUUUAAGGAUCUUUGAACUUCAGUCUGUUGCAGUGCCUAGAAAUCGACAUGGAAUACAGCUAUUGGGUUUGCAAAGAGGGAAUAUGGAGACUAACUGUACUGUGGAAUAUAAUGAGGGCUGUACAAUCUAAAGUAAGUGCAGUAGAAAUUGUAAAGCAAAAUUGAAAAAAAUCCUAAUUUAAUCUGGAAAUUACUGACCACUUGAAGGAAUCACUUUUUCUUCCCUUCCCGUAUCCUAAAUAGCCAAGAUCCAUUAGGACUUUGUUUGUACUGUUGGAAAUGCUGGAUCAAGAUUUUUGAUUUGGCAUCAGUAUGGCAUUUGCAUUAGGUUUUGACCCAAAGGUGUUGAAGAAUAUUACACAGUUGAAUUUUAGGCAGAACUCAAGGGCUUAUUUCUGAAUCUUAUGCCUUUUCCUGAAUCAGGCUGGACACAGAAACUCUACAGUAGAGUCUACACCUAGGUCUGACUUCUGCAUAACUAUUUCCAGAUAGGCCUUCUAUCUGGCAGUAACUAUACGAAGUAGCCUGUAAACUUAGAAUCCUGUAUUGCUCACCACUAGUAGAUAAAGCUGUGAAAUAAAAUAAUAAGCUGUUACGCUGUUCAGGGUUUUUAUCUUCAGUGUUCUCUUCUAGUAGUUCAGAAUGUAGUAAAUCAUUAUCUCCAGAAUGCAUUGGUCUCAAAUGCUUUCAGAUUCUCAAAAAAGGGAAGUGGGAUGCUA
Molecule: long non-coding RNA, 3322 nt
Organism: Pezoporus flaviventris
Lineage: Eukaryota; Metazoa; Chordata; Aves; Psittaciformes; Psittacidae
Exons: 2
Source: RefSeq, a predicted model, not a curated record